AUGUGCCAGUCAGGCCUGACGCUCACUGUCAGCCACAGCACUAAUCAGAGGAAGUUGCUUCUUUGUCACAAUUUGCUGCAUUCAUUUAUCGCCCAUGCAGGAAGGAGCCAAAUCCCUUCAUUUGGACUAAUCACUUCUCUCUUUUUAGUGACAUCUCAGCGCACCCGCAGAUUGACAACUCCUUCUAGCGCGCAGAGUGGCACACGCACGCCAGGCUGCCUCUCCCUCCUCGCUUCCCUGGGCCUGACACAUCACACGCUGGGCCACCACAAUGGGCUGAGUCACGACCACUGCAGGAAUCAACACUGUACUUCAGACACGAUUGUCUUCUGCCCUUUACAACAUUUAUGUCCCUUUGUUCCCCAAGAUAAAGGCAACAGUCACAUGUUUGGGCUUAAAGCGCCCAGCAGCUGCUCCUCUCCUCCUCUAUAUGCUCACAUCCCCCUCCGCGCUACCAGGCAGCAUUCCUCCGAUGGGCUCCCCAGGCAUCAAGGACGUAAACACAGACAAACCGAUACCCCUGAACACCCCCACCCUCCCAUGAUGCCUGUUUCCUGGGAGAGUGCUGUGAUUUAUGGUGGAAUGAGCCAGAGUUGGCCACCAAGGUAGGGGCUCCCAAGAUCGGUAAAUACCUACACCAAUCAGGCAGGUGUCUAAAUAAUUUAGCUUUUGUGCUAUGACACUCUUGCAGCAUUAAAAAGACAGAAACACAACUGAAAUGGGAAGAGAGAUCUCCGCUGGAUUUGACAAAUGCCUCAAUAAGAGCCAACUAUUUCCCUCAUUUAUUCUCUGAUUUCAUGAUGUGUCAAGACAAAACAACCCCCCCCCCCACAACAAUUGUGAUAGAUUGGAGGUUUGGGGGUUCACGGCCAUGAGAUGGAACUCUGGCUUUAAGCCCCCGCCACCUCCCCUCUCUCAGGCAUCAAAGGCAAUCUUGGAAAUAGGCCCCGCAAAGCCAUCUCUCCGUUGGCUUCUUCAAAGGACAGGAAGUGUGUCAGAGGGACAGGCCUUCUUUCCCAGCAAAUUCAGGCGAGAUGCUAUAAUAACAAGCUCAUCUAUGUGUCUGUGGCAGACUAGUUCAAAGGGGAGCCCGAUUCCUCUUGGUACAACAUGUGAUGAUAGAUUCAGGAUGCAGAAACACUGUUUAGUGAAAAUCCAACUGGAGGGCUGCAUCAGGGACAUCUGUCCAGUGAAUAGACAUGUCCCCAAACUGUGAAAAAUCCUGCCCUGAAAAUUGGGGUCAGUUUGCUUUUUUAAUCUUAACUUUCCCCAGUAAUCAUCCCAACUCAGUUAUAGUUGCAUUUGUGACCUUUGGCUAUCAGCUACCUAACGGCAGAAUUUAUACAGGACCACAUUUGCAAGUGUUCGGCGCAUCAAACUCCUACACUGGCAUGUGCUCUUUAUGGCCCUGUAUCACCUGGUAUUUACAUCCAGCUCAGGUGAUCUGAUCCAAAGUGGACAGUUCUUAGUGCACCAGUGAACGCACCCAUUUGAGAUCUGAUCACAUGUGGCCACAUUCUUUUAGCUGUGUGAAGGACUGGGUACUAUACGGUCUUGAAGAAAGGUUAAAGGUAAAAAUGUAAAAUGCACACAUGCACACAUGCACACACGCACACAUACACACACGCACACAUACACACACACACACACCAAUAAUAAUUUAGCAUAAGUGCUGUAUUUUCUCAUAUAUAUAGAUCUAUAUAUAUAUUUCAUAUUAAACACCACUGGAGAAUGAACCUUUUUUGGAGAAAAUAAUCAAGGAAACAUGUUACAAAUCUUAUCUAUCUGUUUCUACAAAUAUUAUUUGUUUCUAUGCAUAUUUUUUUCUCUCCCAAAACUGUAGAAUGACACAGGUGGAAAUAAUCUAAAUCUGGUUUCAUUAAUUUCCAACUCAUGGUGUUGAUUAGAAGAGUCAUGUGGUAUCCCUUAAAACAUUGCUAUCCCUACACUGCUGCUUUCUCACAGGAGGAUGCCCACUGUGUGUGUGUAUUACCGUCACACUGAGCUGCUGGCAGCCUGGCAAGAAAUGGCACAGUGGCUUCUGUCUUUUAUUAUAUAUUUGAAGACUUCAAAAGAAUCUUCGCCUGCUUUCAUCUGCUGCCUCAGUCCAAUAAGACCGUGAUUUUCUAAACCUCACUCCUGUGUCACAGACAGAUGCACGCUGACCAAGGAGCCCAGUGUGAUUUUUGUUCUUGCUGAUAUGGUUUUAUUCCAUGAACAACUUUGUAGAUCAAGAGGGGAGAUUAAAAAACAACCCCUGAUCCAACAGGGACUUAACUGUAAGGUGUCCUGCUCUAUUAAGGCUGUUCAUUCAUUCCAAAUCAUGGAAAAGCUGAGCUGUAGCUAAUGCUUUGUGAUUUAAAUGUUUUUUGUUUUGUUUUUUUACAACUUCCAGGUUAUUUUCUUUGCUUAAAAAUAAAAUGUGACAGAGCACAGAUCUGGACUCCUGUGAGCUGAGCAGAGACCAGUCCUGUCCUGGGACCCCUGGAGCGACCCGGUCCUCAUUUUUGGGAAGCACCGACAAUAGUGCGGCGACGUUUUUACAGUCAGCAGCCGAGGUGUAAAUCAUCUCCAAGCGGCUGACAAAGGUUUCCUUUACGCCUCUCUCCUCUUUGAAGAGGGGCAAGAACGGGGGGCUGCGUCAAGUCAGCUGGAAAAAAGUCCAGCCACCCCGGAAGUUGUUACAUGGAAUAUUCAGAAUAAUAAAGCUGAAAGGGAAAGGAAAUUGACAUCUCGUGGAGCUGCUAAACUAGUCUAAUCAAUCACACUGAGUCUAGUUUUUCAAAUGUAAACUUGCAGGCACAUAUUUACAUCUAUGUACAACGCGCACACGCACACAACAUUUGCAUGUGGCCACGUGUUAUCUUCAUUUUCAUCUGGUCUGCUCACGAGCGUCUCCCGAGGCGGCGGUUUUACACUGAAAGGGCUUGACCGGAAGUGGAGCGUUCCCCUGCGUGCGACUUGCCGGUGGCUCCGGAUCGGAGGCUGGUGUGGCUCUCCAGUCGUCACCGAGCGCCAGUCUGCUCUCACGGACGCUCCUCCGUCUGGAUACCGCAGCCUUGACUUUUUAGUCGCUUUUUUAAGAUCAUUUUCUUCUCGGGAAUAUAUUCAUCCGAUGGUUUUCCAA
This is a long non-coding RNA of Scophthalmus maximus (turbot), 3127 nucleotides long. Lineage: Eukaryota; Metazoa; Chordata; Actinopteri; Pleuronectiformes; Scophthalmidae. The record is from Ensembl.